This 81-nucleotide transfer RNA is filed under the name Botryococcus braunii. RNAcentral's name for it is "tRNA-Leu". It matches the Rfam family "tRNA". From Rfam's summary of the family: Transfer RNA (tRNA) molecules are approximately 80 nucleotides in length. Their secondary structure includes four short double-helical elements and three loops (D, anti-codon, and T loops). Lineage: Eukaryota; Viridiplantae; Chlorophyta; Trebouxiophyceae. The record is from RNAcentral.
GCUCGCUUGGUGAAAAAGGUAAACACGACAGACUUAAAAUCUGUUCCUCUACGGUUAUCGGUUCAAGUCCGAUAGCGAGCA